Molecule: unclassified non-coding RNA, 204 nt
Filed under: Hevea brasiliensis (rubber tree)
Lineage: Eukaryota; Viridiplantae; Streptophyta; Magnoliopsida; Malpighiales; Euphorbiaceae
Source: RNAcentral
GUAUGAUAAAUGGAAUUCUGAUGCUGACCCAAGUUCAGAGAGAGGUAAAAGGCAAUACAGAGAGAAACCUGCGCAAUCAAAGUACAGGUCCAAGAUCGUUUCUUCUCCAUUUUCACACAGGUAGCUGCAACCCGACUUUUUCCAAUUGGCUACAGAGAUCUAAAUCUAGGACCGGCUACAUUACGUUAGCGUGCUGUAUGGCUA